CUUCUCAGCUUCUUCAUCUCAAGAAUUGAGAAAUCAAAAGAAGGGAAGACAGUGGGCACAACGGGUGGAGAGAGGAAAGCCGUCGAACGAGAGUGGCAGUCACCACAUCGCAGCCUUCUUCGUCAUCUCCAGAAGCAGGUGAAGAAUUGUAUAAUAUGGUGUUGGAGUACGGUGAUAUUAUGUUUGGCUUUGAAUCUGAUGCCUAGGAGAAAUUGUAUUCUAGCAACAAUGAAGGCGACUAUGAGUCAUUAGGUACCGACCAAUAAUAGGCACUUGAAGCACAGACAUCGACUCAUAACGCAGUCUCGUCGAGUGUGAUGUUGCAGCAUCAACGCAGGGUCCCUUCACAAUAAGAUCUAUUUACUCACAAGUACAAGGCCUAUUGAAAGAAUAAUCUUUCAAUGUUUACAAACAUUGAGGCUGCAAGAACAAUAACAUCGGCCUUUAAAUCAUUGAUGAAAAUUCUAUUGUUUCAAUGGAGUCAUGUUUCCAAAUAUCCUGAGAAAAAAAAUAUAUGAAAGAAAGAGAUCUUCCAGACUAGAAUGACGUGGCAGUUUUGAAGAAUUUCAAACCAGCGUAUGUCUCAAAGGUUGUAUGAGCACAAUACAUUCAACACAUGAUGUCCUCGUGUUUUACUUGACGGUUAUAGUCCGGUACAGAGAGUUAAAACUAGCGUGUUCACAGUUCUGUUACCAUGCAUAUCGACGACUUUGUUCUGUUAGUUUCGCAUGCAAAGCAGAUGGUAACAUUUUUUAUUACAUCUAUUUUUUAUUAGUUUUUUAUAUAAAUGUAUUUAACUGACAACGUUUUUUUAUUGGAAGCUAUAGUUUUUGGACACGAGCCAAGCUUAAUAAAGCUUUUUGUUGAAACGCA
This is a long non-coding RNA of Populus nigra (black poplar), 873 nucleotides long. RefSeq lists it as uncharacterized. The record is from RefSeq and is a predicted model, not a curated record. NCBI's taxonomy places the organism in Eukaryota, Viridiplantae, Streptophyta, Magnoliopsida, Malpighiales, Salicaceae. The transcript has 4 exons.